Molecule: ribosomal RNA, 472 nt
Filed under: uncultured bacterium
Lineage: Bacteria
Description: bacterial SSU rRNA
Rfam family: Bacterial small subunit ribosomal RNA
Source: RNAcentral
GAUGAACGCUAGCGAUAGGCCUAACACAUGCAAGUCGAGGGGCAUCACAUGAAGUAGCAAUACGGAUGGUGGCGACCGGCGCACGGGUGAGUAACACGUAUGCAACCUGCCUUCAACAAGGGGAUAACCCGUUGAAAGACGGACUAAUACCCUAUAACACAGGGGUCCCGCAUGGGAAUAUUUGUUAAAGGACAACCGGUUGAAGAUGGGCAUGCGUUCCAUUAGCUAGUUGGCGGGUAACGGCCCACCAAGGCAACGAUGGAUAGGGGAACUGAGAGGUUUAUCCCCCACACUGGUACUGAGACACGGACCAGACUCCUACGGGAGGCAGCAGUGAGGAAUAUUGGUCAAUGGACGCAAGUCUGAACCAGCCACGUCGCGUGAAGGAAGACGGCCCUACGGGUUGUAAACUUCUUUUAACGGGAAUAAAGUGCCCCACGCGUGGGGUUUUGCAUGUACCGUAUGAAUAAGG